This 468-nucleotide ribosomal RNA is filed under the name uncultured bacterium. RNAcentral's name for it is "partial 16S ribosomal RNA". It matches the Rfam family "Bacterial small subunit ribosomal RNA", at positions 28 to 507 of the family's 1533-position model. The record is from RNAcentral.
GACGAACGCUGGCGGCGUGCUUAACACAUGCAAGUCGAACGGAAAGGCCCUGCUUUUGUGGGGUGCUCGAGUGGCGAACGGGUGAGUAACACGUGAGUAACCUGCCCUUGACUUUGGGAUAACUUCAGGAAACUGGGGCUAAUACCGGAUAGGAGCUCCUGCUGCAUGGUGGGGGUUGGAAAGUCUCGGCGGGUGGGGAUGGACGCGCGGCUUAUCAGCUUGUUGGUGGGGUAGUGGCUUACCAAGGCUUUGACGGGUAGCCGGCCUGAGAGGGUGACCGGCGACAUUAGGACUAAGGGACGGCCCAGACGGCUACGGUAGGCAACAGUGGGGAGUAUUGCACAGUGGUCCGAAGCGUGUGGAGGCAGCGCCGCGGGCGGAAAGACGGCUUGCGGGGUGUGAACCGCUUUCGCCUAAGACCAAGCGUGUGUGACGGUAAUGGGAAAAGAAGCACCGGCUAACUUCGUG